AUGACCUGGACCAAAGCUGAGGAAACCUGUUCAGCUGAAAGAGCAGGAAGUCACCUAACCAGCAUCACUAGUGAAGAAGAGAAUGAAUUCCUUCGUAAACUUUCUCAGGGACAAAAGGAAACCAAGCUCUGGACAGGUGGAACUUACCAAAAGGCAAGUGUGCCAGGACCGGUAAUGAAAACAAGCAUCAGUCAAAAGACCUUUAUAACUCAACUGACCAAAAAUGUCUACUAGAAUUUUUUUAUUUUUUUCCCCAAGGGAAUAGUUUCCGUUUGUAACAAGGGAAGAUCUUUUCAGUCUCAGCAAAACUAAAGAUGUAUCAAAAAGUCAUGCUUUUUAUCCUUCAGUGAUCUGGGGGGCUGGGGAUAGAGGAAGAUGGGAGUUCGAGGAAAAAAAGUUGAAGUGAUAAACUCUGAUCAACAUCAUAUUCCAAUUAUAUUCCACCUAAAGAACGAGAGCUGAGAUACAAAUCUCAAAGGAGAAGUGGAUAAAUCCACCACUGGAUGGUGGAUAAUAACUUCUCUCUUUAAUUUCUGUUUAGCAGAAUGUCAGGGUAGUAGACUGGACUUGGUGUUAUAAAAAGCUUGGAUGGAUAUAUUCAUUCAGAUCUUUUAAUGAAUUCCUUCAGAGUGUUUUCUCACCAAUAUUCUAGACAAUGAACCUAGCAGAGCUUUUGCUGAUAUGGUGAAUAUAACAUUAGUAAAAUUGGUAAAAGCAAGUGAAUUUCAGAUAUGUAAGUGCAUGUUGGAAAUAGAAAUUUUAUUCUGUAAAUUUUACACAUGCAACAGGGCAUAUCAAUGACCUGUGUGUCCAUCCAGAAUGUCUCAAAUUCUGAGUGUCACUUACCUGCAGUGAAUUAGUCAUGAGUGAUAUAGUCUAUUCUGAAUUACAAAUAUAUUCAAGAAAAUUAUGAUUUAUUUGAGGACAAUUCAUAUAGAGAAGAUGAGGUGAAAUUAAUCUAACAUGGAAUUAAAAAUUAAUUAUUCAUGCAGCUCUACAGAACAAUGAUAUCCCCACAAGCGAUAACUGUUUCUAAGUCCAUGUGGAAGAGGGCCCCUGUUCAGUCCUUUUUCCAUCCCAGCAAAUAUAAAAGUGUGCCAAACUGCUUUCAGAAUUUAACUGCUACCUGCAGUUCCCAUUAAUCUUCUGGAGUUAUUUUUUUUUGUCUGCAGGGGUCAUUGUUGAAAUGGAGUGAUGGAUCUCUGACAACCUUCAUCCAGAGGCCUCUGUUAUCCAUUUUCAGUUCUGUUAGAAGACUAAUUAACAGUCUGUUUAACAUAAAAUUUUGCUUGAGCCUCAAUAUUGGAGGUAAGGAAAAUCUAAGAUGAUUUAUGACUCACACAGUUUACUUUGCUCUUGAACCUCUGCUAUUCCAGUGGAUAGACUAUUUCCAGGAUUAGCUACAGAAAACAACAUCUUAUUAAAAUGUUGCCCAGACCUGCAAUGUACAUACUAUGGAAACACAAAUGAAAAGAAAAUUAAAUUUCCAGGUGCUGAACUGAGAUUAAAUGAUUCCACGUAAGGAGUGAAAUAGUUCUCUUAUCAUAUCUUCUGCCUUUCCUUUGUUAUCACUCUUGGUCUUUGUUUCCAGGAGGGGGUGAAUGGGAUGGCUCUAACUGCAGCAAUAAGCUACCAUUCAUCUGCGUUUACAAACCAAACCUGAAGCACCCUUAACCUAUCACUGAACUACUGAUGAAACCUGACUGGCUGCUGUGGCACUUGGAAUAGAGUUCAGCUGCAAUCCAUUAGUGCAUUGAAAUCCUUUGCAUGGAAAAAUCAAGAUCCAAUACUAAAAAAGCAGAAGUAUUAGAGCAAGUUACUUUUAUGUUCUGUUUGCAUUAUUGUGGUGAUGUUCCUGUAGACUAUCUCUAAAAUGAUCCCAUAAAAAUAAAUUCUGAUUUGAUUUGAAUGCUUGAUGAAAU
This 1922-nucleotide long non-coding RNA is filed under the name Anser cygnoides (Swan goose). Its description in RNAcentral is "lncRNA (ENSACDG00005002481.1)". Lineage: Eukaryota; Metazoa; Chordata; Aves; Anseriformes; Anatidae. The record is from RNAcentral.